RNAcentral lists this ribosomal RNA (253 nucleotides) under uncultured bacterium. Its description in RNAcentral is "partial 16S ribosomal RNA". It matches the Rfam family "Bacterial small subunit ribosomal RNA", at positions 524 to 776 of the family's 1533-position model. The record is from RNAcentral.
UACGUAGGGGGCAAGCGUUGUCCGGAAUCAUUGGGCGUAAAGAGCGUGUAGGCGGCCAGAUAAGUCCGCUGUGAAAUCUCGAGGCUCAACUUCGAGCUGUCGGUGGAAACUGUCUGGCUAGAGUCCGGAAGAGGCGAGUGGAACUCCUGGUGUAGCGGUGGAAUGCGCAGAUAUCAGGAAGAACACCGGCGGCGAAGGCAGCUCGCUGGGCCGUUACUGACGCUGAGGCGCGAAAGCGUGGGGAGCGAACAGG